Molecule: long non-coding RNA, 230 nt
Organism: Populus euphratica (Euphrates poplar)
Lineage: Eukaryota; Viridiplantae; Streptophyta; Magnoliopsida; Malpighiales; Salicaceae
Exons: 2
Source: RefSeq, a predicted model, not a curated record
ACGAUUGAAUCUUCCUAAAAUAAUAACAAGUUCCCACAUGCAGAAUCGAGGCCAAGAAGCUAAGACUCUGUAAAGAUCGAAUCUAGAUGGUUAGAUUAUUUUAUCAGGAGAGCAACAAGAGAGACGGCGAGACAGACAGAGGGGUUGAGCGUUUGUCAGAUCUGUGUAUUUAAGGGAAAGAAAGAAUGGACGGUGGAGAUUUGAUUGGUGGGAGGGGUAGAUAGUAGAAA